Schistocerca serialis cubense is the source of this 443-nucleotide long non-coding RNA. RefSeq lists it as uncharacterized. NCBI's taxonomy places the organism in Eukaryota, Metazoa, Arthropoda, Insecta, Orthoptera, Acrididae. The transcript has 5 exons. The record is from RefSeq and is a predicted model, not a curated record.
UUUCUUUGUGGUGGUGGGAAACUCUUUGGAGUUUUGUUUCCGUUUUCUUUGGAAGUUUGUGUGUCGACGGCGUGGUUGGCCUGCUGUGAAUAGGUGAAGAAUCGGUAUUUUGCAACUGGUCCUGUAGUCUGGGACGAAAAUGGAAACAAAGUUCAUUGCCGGCCAGUGUAGCCGUGCGGUUCUAACUCGGAGCCGGCCGCGGUGGUCUAGCGGUUCUGGCGCUUCAGUCUGGAACUGCGUGACCGCUCCGUUCGCAGCCACGAGAAAUAAAGGAAAUCAAGGAGUUCCUUUUGAAAGCGAGGAGGAAAGAUGCAAAAUCUGUGAAAAUAAAGAAGAAUCCAGAAAACACGAAGUUCAAGGUCAGAUGCUCCAGGUUUUUGUACACCCUUGUCAUUACAGACAAAGAAAAGGCUGAGAAGCUGAAACAGUCAUUACCACCAGGU